GACGAACGCUGGCGGCGUGCUUAACGCAUGCAAGUCGAACGGUAAGGCCCUUCGGGGUACACGAGUGGCGAACGGGUGAGUAACACGUGGGUGAUCUGCCCUGCACUUCGGGAUAAGCCUGGGAAACUGGGUCUAAUACCGGAUAGGACUCCUGGCUUCCUGGUUGGGGGUGGAAAGCUUUUGCGGUGUGGGAUGGGCCCGCGGCCUAUCAGCUUGUUGGUGGGGUAAUGGCCUACCAAGGCGACGACGGGUAGCCGGCCUGAGAGGGUGACCGGUCACACUGGGACUGAGAUACGGCCCAGACUCCUACGGGAGGCAGCAGUGGGGAAUAUUGCACAAUGGGCGCAAGCCUGAUGCAGCGACGCCGCGUGAGGGAUGACGGCCUUCGGGUUGUAAACCUCUUUCAGCUAUGACGAAGCGCAAGUGACGGUAGUAGCAGAAGAAGGACCGGCCAACUACGUGCCAGCCGCCGCGUAA
RNAcentral lists this ribosomal RNA (477 nucleotides) under uncultured bacterium. RNAcentral describes it as "partial 16S ribosomal RNA". It matches the Rfam family "Bacterial small subunit ribosomal RNA", at positions 28 to 522 of the family's 1533-position model. The record is from RNAcentral.